UAGCUACUCCCUCUAUCCCAAAAUUCUUGUCUUAGAUCUGUCUAGAUACGGAUGUAUCUAAUACUAAAAUGUGACUUGAUACAUCCGUAUCUAGACAAAUCUAAGACAAGAAUUUUGGGACGGAGGGAGUACUUU
Non-coding RNA from Triticum aestivum (bread wheat), 135 nucleotides. The record is from Rfam. Lineage: Eukaryota; Viridiplantae; Streptophyta; Magnoliopsida; Poales; Poaceae.